This 648-nucleotide long non-coding RNA is filed under the name Capsicum annuum. Its description in RNAcentral is "long non-coding RNA (CANN_LNC002777)". Lineage: Eukaryota; Viridiplantae; Streptophyta; Magnoliopsida; Solanales; Solanaceae. The record is from RNAcentral.
GGAUUGAUGCCAACUACGUAAAACUUCAAUCUGGCGAUAAGUGUCGGUACCAAACGCACAAUUCUUUAAUUUGACAUGAUCAACAUUGGGAGAAACAAAUACCUUUGAAAUCAUGAGAAUGAAAACACAUUCAUGAGUACUUCAAGUCUCGCAGCCAAGUUUCGGCAAGCCUACACAUCGACCAACCUUAAAGUAGGGGGCAUCUGUAGACACAUAAAAUUUAUUGGAUCAAAUUCAUAGAAAAUUUAAAUUUGAUUCACAUUUUAUUGGGUUUAAACUUAUUUUGGGCUUAAAAAAUAAUAAGUCUAUUGUAUUCCUCAUCAAGGUCCAUCUCACCUUGAAGCCUAAACUUAUCAAGUAACGUGGCAUUCCAGUCAAAUCCAAGACCAAUGAUACGUCACCACAUGUACAAAUGAUGUGGAAAUCUCAUUCAAAUCCAACAAUCAGUCAAAAGGCGUCAAGUGGCAAAGUGACAUAUUUCAACCAAUCACAAGCGACUAGGUCUACCCCCUACAAUUAUAAAUAAGGGAGUAACAUAACAUUCUAAGGGGAAGAAAAGAAAAAGGAGGACAUUCUGUAAGAAUUGGAGGAAGCUUCUACAUUGACUACACAGCUCUUCAACGAAUUGCCUAACGGAGUUCUGCCCAG